GCUAACGUCCGUCGUGAAGAGGGAAACAACCCAGACCGCCAGCUAAGGUCCCAAAGUCAUGGUUAAGUGGGAAACGAUGUGGGAAGGCCCAGACAGCCAGGAUGUUGGCUUAGAAGCAGCCAUCAUUUAAAGAAAGCGUAAUAGCUCACUGGUCGAGUCGGCCUGCGCGGAAGAUGUAACGGGGCUAAACCAUGCACCGAAGCUGCGGCAGCGACGCUGAUGCGUUGUUGGGUAGGGGAGCGUUCUGUAAGCC
Molecule: ribosomal RNA, 253 nt
Filed under: Escherichia coli
Lineage: Bacteria; Pseudomonadati; Pseudomonadota; Gammaproteobacteria; Enterobacterales; Enterobacteriaceae
Description: partial 23S ribosomal RNA
Rfam family: Bacterial large subunit ribosomal RNA
Source: RNAcentral